Molecule: ribosomal RNA, 311 nt
Filed under: uncultured bacterium
Lineage: Bacteria
Description: partial 16S ribosomal RNA
Rfam family: Bacterial small subunit ribosomal RNA
Source: RNAcentral
UAAGAGACAGCAGUCGCCGCGGGAAUACGUAGGUCCCGAGCGUUGUCCGGAUUUAUUGGGCGUAAAGCGAGCGCAGGCGGUUAGAUAAGUCUGAAGUUAAAGGCUGUGGCUUAACCAUAGUACGCUUUGGAAACUGUUUAACUUGAGUGCAAGAGGGGAGAGUGGAAUUCCAUGUGUAGCGGUGAAAUGCGUAGAUAUAUGGAGGAACACCGGUGGCGAAAGCGGCUCUCUGGCUUGUAACUGACGCUGAGGCUCGAAAGCGUGGGGAGCAAACAGGAUUAGAUACCCGUGUAGUCCCUGUCUCUUAUACA